RNAcentral lists this ribosomal RNA (409 nucleotides) under uncultured bacterium. RNAcentral's name for it is "bacterial SSU rRNA". It matches the Rfam family "Bacterial small subunit ribosomal RNA", at positions 64 to 507 of the family's 1533-position model. The record is from RNAcentral.
GAGCGCCGUAGCAAUACGGAGCGGCAGACGGGAGAGUAACACGUGGGAACGUGCCCUUCAGUUCGGAACAACCCAGGGAAACUUGGGCUAAUACCGGAUACGUCCGUAAGGAGAAAGAUUUAUCGCUGAAGGAUCGGCCCGCGUCUGAUUAGCUAGUUGGUGAGGUAACGGCUCACCAAGGCAAUGAUCGGUAGCUGGUCUGAGAGGAUGGCCAGCCACACUGGAACUGAGACACGGUCCAGACUCCUACGGGAGGCAGCAGUGGGGAAUCUUGCGCAAUGGGCGAAAGCCUGACGCAGCGACGCCGCGUGGGGGAUGAAGCUUCUCGGAGUGUAAACCCCUUUCGACCGGGACGAAUGCCCGCAAGGGAGUGACGGUACCGGUAGAAGAAGCCCCGGCUAACUACGUG